GACGAACGCUGGCGGCGUGCUUAACACAUGCAAGUCGAACGGAAAGGCCCUGCUUUUGUGGGGUGCCCGAGUGGCGAACGGGUGAGUAACACGUGAGUAACCUGCCCUUGACUUUGGGAUAACUUCAGGAAACUGGGGCUAAUACCGGAUAGGAGCUCCUGCUGCAUGGUGGGGGUUGGAAAGUUUCGGCGGUUGGGGAUGGACUCGCGGCUUAUCAGCUUGUUGGUGGGGUAGUGGCUUACCAAGGCUUUGACGGGUAGCCGGCCUGAGAGGGUGACCGGCCACAUUGGGACUGAGAUACGGCCCAGACUCCUACGGGAGGCAGCAGUGGGGAAUAUUGCACAAUGGGCGGAAGCCUGAUGCAGCAACGCCGCGUGCGGGAUGACGGCCUUCGGGUUGUAAACCGCUUUCGCCUGUGACGAAGCGUGAGUGACGGUAAUGGGUAAAGAAGCACCGGCUAACUACGUGCCAGCAGCCGCGGUGAUACGUAGGGUGCGAGCGUUGUCCGGAUUUAUUGGGCGUAAAGGGCUCGUAGGUGGUUGAUCGCGUCGGAAGUGUAAUCUUGGGGCUUAACCCUGAGCGUGCUUUCGAUACGGGUUGACUUGAGGAAGGUAGGGGAGAAUGGAGUUCCUGGUGGAGCGGUGGAAUGCGCAGAUAUCAGGAGGAACACCAGUGGCGAAGGCGGUUCUCUGGGCCUUUCCUGACGCUGAGGAGCGAAAGCGUGGGGAGCGAACAGGCUUAGAUACCCUGGUAGUCCACGCUGUAAACGGUGGGUACUAGGUGUGGGGUCCAUUCCACGGGUUCCGUGCCGUAGCUAACGCUUUAAGUACCCCGCCUGGGGAGUACGGCCGCAAGGCUAAAACUCAAAGGAAUUGACGGGGCCCCGCACAAGCGGCGGAGCAUGCGGAUUAAUUCGAUGCAACGCGUAGAACCUUACCUGGGUUUGACAUGGAUCGGGAGUGCUCAGAGAUGGGUGUGCCUCUUUUGGGGUCGGUUCACAGGUGGUGCAUGGCUGUCGUCAGCUCGUGUCGUGAGAUGUUGGGUUAAGUCCCGCAACGAGCGCAACCCUUGUUCACUGUUGCCAGCACGUUAUGGUGGAGACUCAGUGGAGACCGCCGGGGUCAACUCGGAGGAAGGUGGGGAUGACGUCAAGUCAUCAUGCCCCUUAUGUCCAGGGCUUCACGCAUGCUACAAUGGCUGGUACAGAGAGUGGCGAGCCUGUGAGGGUGAGCGAAUCCCGGAAAGCCGGUCUCAGUUCGGAUUGGGGUCUGCAACUCGACCUCAUGAAGUCGGAGUCGCUAGUAAUCGCAGAUCAGCAACGCUGCGGUGAAUACGUUCCCGGGGCU
RNAcentral lists this ribosomal RNA (1346 nucleotides) under uncultured bacterium. RNAcentral's name for it is "partial 16S ribosomal RNA". It matches the Rfam family "Bacterial small subunit ribosomal RNA", at positions 28 to 1381 of the family's 1533-position model. The record is from RNAcentral.